UGCUUUAAACUUCAUUGAUGUAGUGAAAAAUAAGAGUUUCCUUGGUAUGUCAUUGUAGAUUUUAAUCAAUCUCCACCAUUCACAUUACACAUUUCAGCUCGAUUGAACUGUAGAAAUUUUUACAUAGGUACAUGCUCAUCAUUUGGGCACAACAGAUUUUUUGUGUGGGUAUUUGAGAUCUGAUAAAUGAAUUGGGUAAAUUAAAGAUGGUAGUUUGGAAUCCUCAUGAUUCAUUUGUUGUAUAUUUCAGGUUAUGUGAAGGUGGGAAGCACUUAGAAUACUUUUCAGAACUCAGCUGUCAUUCGGUUUUCUACUUGAAUAUCCAGGGCUGAGGCACAACACGUUGCACGACUUGAGGAAGAAGAGGCUCUCAUUUCAGCUCAUAAAAAAAAUCCAGAUAGAAGAGACUUGCCCCAAUUGCUUUUGUACUUAAGCUGGUUGUGCAAUAUUGAGUGCUGGAUAUUAGCAACACCAAUCUAUAUAUUCUUUUUGAAAUAUUAACUUGCAAAAUAAAACAAUGCGAAUGAUGUAUGACAUAAUUUAUAAGGCCUUGGAAGAGAUUGGGCUCGAGAAAACAUGUGCCGCAAGAUUAUUUGAAUUUUUUCUGCCUUGGCAAUUGUGAAGCUGCAGAUGGAACCGAUGCUUCAUGAGGAAGUCCUGCAGCAAACACUCUCCAAGUAAUUCUUUUGUUCCUGGAGCA
Magnolia sinica is the source of this 700-nucleotide long non-coding RNA. RefSeq lists it as uncharacterized. The transcript has 3 exons. NCBI's taxonomy places the organism in Eukaryota, Viridiplantae, Streptophyta, Magnoliopsida, Magnoliales, Magnoliaceae. The record is from RefSeq and is a predicted model, not a curated record.